CUCCACCCAGCGAACGCCCUUCGUAACUGGCUAGCUAAGAGUUUCUUUCGGGGAGGCCGAAUUCCCGGUGGAGCCGCGAAUAAGGGAAGAUUCAUAAGGAGGAAAGCCCGCGGAGAUGGCCCCCCUGAUGACGAACGACGAUUGAUCAGGUGAGACAGUGUGAGGAGACAAGAGGAGAAGACACCGUGGUGGUCCACGCAAUAAACGAUGACGAUGUGGAGGUUGUCCCGAUGAGGCGCCGCCUCUGGAGAUAACUCGAAAAAUCGACCUCGUGGGGAGUACGGCCGCAAGGUUAAAACUCAAAAGAAUGGAGGGGGGCCCGCACCAGCGGUGGAGCAUGUGGUUUAAUUUGAUGCAACGCGAAGACCCUUACCUAUUCUUGACAUCCAGAGAACUUAGCAGAGAUGGUUUGGUGCCUUCGGGAACUGUGAGACAGGUGCUGCAUGGCUGUCGUCAGCUCGUGUUGUGAAAUGUUGGGUUAAGUCCCGCAACGAGCGCAACCCUUAUCCUUUGUUGCCAGCGGUUCGGCCGGGAACUCAAAGGAGACUGCCAGUGAUAAACUGGAGGAAGGUGGGGAUGACGUCAAGUCAUCAUGGCCCUUACGACCAGGGCUACACACGUGCUACAAUGGCAUAUACAAAGAGAAGCGACCUCGCGAGAGCAAGCGGACCUCAUAAAGUAUGUCGUAGUCCGGAUUGGAGUCUGCAACUCGACUCCAUGAAGUCGGAAUCGCUAGUAAUCGUAGAUCAGAAUGCUACGGUGAAUACGUUCCCGGGCCUUGUACACACCGCCCGUCACACCAU
This 803-nucleotide ribosomal RNA is filed under the name Serratia marcescens. RNAcentral describes it as "bacterial SSU rRNA". It matches the Rfam family "Bacterial small subunit ribosomal RNA", at positions 608 to 1405 of the family's 1533-position model. The record is from RNAcentral. Lineage: Bacteria; Pseudomonadati; Pseudomonadota; Gammaproteobacteria; Enterobacterales; Yersiniaceae.